CCUACGGGAGGCAGCAGUGAGGAAUAUUGGUCAAUGGGCGCGAGCCUGAACCAGCCAAGUAGCGUGAAGGAUGACUGCCCUACGGGUUGUAAACUUCUUUUAUCAAGGAAUAAAGUCAGGCACGUGUGCCCUUUUGUAUGUACUUUAUGAAAAAGGAUCGGCUAACUCCGUGCCAGCAGCCGCGGUAAUCCGGAGGAUCCGAGCGUUAUCCGGAUUUCUUGGGUUUAAAGGGAGCGUAGAUGGGUUGUUAAGUCAUUUGUGAAAGUUUGCGGCUCAACCGUACAAUGGCGAUUGAUACUGGCAGUCUUGAGUACAGUUGAGGUAGGCGGAAUUCGUGGUGUAGCGGUGAAAUGCUUAGAUAUCACGAAGAACUCCGAUUGCGAAGGCAGCUUACUAAACUGCCACUGACAUUGAUGCUCGAAAGUGUGGGUAUCAAACAGGAUUAGAUACCCUAGUAGUC
This 460-nucleotide ribosomal RNA is filed under the name uncultured bacterium. Its description in RNAcentral is "partial 16S ribosomal RNA". It matches the Rfam family "Bacterial small subunit ribosomal RNA", at positions 338 to 795 of the family's 1533-position model. The record is from RNAcentral.